Molecule: ribosomal RNA, 706 nt
Filed under: uncultured Arthrobacter sp.
Lineage: Bacteria; Bacillati; Actinomycetota; Actinomycetes; Micrococcales; Micrococcaceae
Description: bacterial SSU rRNA
Rfam family: Bacterial small subunit ribosomal RNA
Source: RNAcentral
ACGAUGAUGCCCACUUGUGGGUGGAUUAGUGGCGAACGGGUGAGUAACACGUGAGUAACCUGCCCUUAACUCUGGGAUAAGCCUGGGAAACUGGGUCUAAUACCGGAUAUGACUCCUCAUCGCAUGGUGGGGGGUGGAAAGCUUUAUUGUGGUUUUGGAUGGACUCGCGGCCUAUCAGCUUGUUGGUGAGGUAAUGGCUCACCAAGGCGACGACGGGUAGCCGGCCUGAGAGGGUGACCGGCCACACUGGGACUGAGACACGGCCCAGACUCCUACGGGAGGCAGCAGUGGGGAAUAUUGCACAAUGGGCGAAAGCCUGAUGCAGCGACGCCGCGUGAGGGAUGACGGCCUUCGGGUUGUAAACCUCUUUCAGUAGGGAAGAAGCGAAAGUGACGGUACCUGCAGAAGAAGCGCCGGCUAACUACGUGCCAGCAGCCGCGGUAAUACGUAGGGCGCAAGCGUUAUCCGGAAUUAUUGGGCGUAAAGAGCUCGUAGGCGGUUUGUCGCGUCUGCCGUGAAAGUCCGGGGCUCAACUCCGGAUCUGCGGUGGGUACGGGCAGACUAGAGUGAUGUAGGGGAGACUGGAAUUCCUGGUGUAGCGGUGAAAUGCGCAGAUAUCAGGAGGAACACCGAUGGCGAAGGCAGGUCUCUGGGCAUUAACUGACGCUGAGGAGCGAAAGCAUGGGGAGCGAACAGGAUUAGAUAC